GAAGAAGGAUCGUUCUCCAUCAAAGCCAGAUAUCCUGCAGACCUCGGCGUCUUCGUGAACAAGGCCAGCAUUAUACGGUGGAUUGGAAGUUAACAUGAGGAUGACCAGAACCGCAUGGAAUUGUGAUUGAGUUAGCAGAUCCUCUGUAGAGCUGACCUUCAAUCCAACCUAUGUUAAAAAGUUCUCUCAAGCCCAAACUCAAUCACAGGGAGACCAUGAUGCCUGGAUGUCCGGGUUCACAGCCUCAGAAUGACCUCUGCGUGGAUUUGUCAGACUCAAAGUGAUGCAUGCUAACCCUGACCUCAACCAGACACCGGAGUGACAGCAGUAUUAAAGACAGACUCCCUCAUCCUACAUCCUUGAAGAGUAGUUAGCAGCCAUUUUCUGCCCACAGCCUCUCUGAAAUGUUCGCAGGGUGAAGAAUGAUUUUAUCUAUACCUCUUGUCACCCACAAGCCCCCACCACCAACACACUGUGUGAAACAAGAAGGCUGUCACGUACAUAGCUUGGGAAAAUGUGCACGUGCUAAAAGCACACACCACAGACACUCACAUAAAUACACACCUUCUGUUGAAAAUCUGUGUUGUUAUGUGUACAAAGCCCCUCAUUUUUUACCAGAAGUAAUAGAAAAUCAAAACAUUGUGCAUUGUACAUUACUGUAUUGUAACUUCUGUGUCAACUUGGAUGUGUGUGUGCAAGCUCAUGCAGAUGUAUGUAUCACUGCAUGUGUUUUCAAGGUCAGUGGCCUUAAACGGGCUCUUGGUCGAAGAGGCACUUCUGUCCGAAGAGGCCGAUUGAAAUUACUGCAGCUCAUUUAUCAGGAAAAUGUGUCACUCCAGGGGUCAUCCUCCAACUGAGUUGGAGGCCAAUUGCUCUGUCUCUGUGUAGAACUGGCCAGCACCUGAAUAGCAAGUGUGAUGUCCUGCAGUAAUGAUACACUGUCCUCAUCAAGCUCCGGUGACACACUACUCUCUCUCUCAGAUACUGGAACGUUUACUCACAAGUAAGGUGUUUUCACCAACACUGGCCUAAUUAAAAACAGAGAAAGAUGCAUCCUUGUGAACAGAGACGUAUGAUUGCAUGCGAAAGCACAGAUAGAACUUGCAGAGACAGAAACUUAUGAUUUGCCCUAGGGGAAAGGUCACCAAAGUCAGUAAGCUUCAUCCUACUCCUUGAUCCAAGUUCCAUAACCAUCUAGCCAAUAGUUUUAAUCAAACUGGACGAAAGAACUCUGUGAGAGGGUUAAUAGGUGAAUUGCUUCAGGCCAAGAAAGUAACUCUCUUGAUAAUGCUUUAGAUCACAGUGUUGGACAAUUAGACAGUUAGAAGUAAAGAUAAGUAAUUAUAAACAUAACCACCACUGUGUACCCACAAUAUGUACAGUGAGUUCAACAGUGACUUGAGGGAGUAGGA
Thunnus maccoyii (southern bluefin tuna) is the source of this 1412-nucleotide long non-coding RNA. RefSeq lists it as uncharacterized. The record is from RefSeq and is a predicted model, not a curated record. The transcript has 4 exons. Lineage: Eukaryota; Metazoa; Chordata; Actinopteri; Scombriformes; Scombridae.